UAGCAUGAAUUUUGUUACGUACUGUGACAAUGCCAUCCAUAGUAGUAGUAUUGGAGAUAUUUUUCUAUUCCACUACUUUGGUUAACUAAAAACUGAUAUCUAAUUAAACAUAAAUUAUAGGCAUUGGUGAUGUGUGUAGGAAAAGUCAGUCUCCGAAGUCUGAAUGAAUAGUAGAUAUAUAUAGCUCUGGUGUAUGACAGAAGGAGAAGUGGUGGUGAUAAACAGUGUUUAUAAAUGCAGGGAAGAAUUGUAUGUAGUAACUGUGAAGCAUGGGAGAGAUAAGAAGAGGGGCUAAUGAGGUUGGUAAAAGUUGUUUAGUGAGAAAAAAUUUGAUGGUAGGCACGUGGACUAAAAUGAAUUGGUGAAUUGAUGUAAAACGAAAAGUACAAUGAUGUGUCAUUAUGGUUGUGUGGCCGGUAGAGAUAAAUGAUUGAGGUAAUUGAGUUUAAUGAGAAGUAGUAUAAGAAUGAUUUUAGUGAGAAAUAUUGGUGUGGUGGUUAAUGGAAGAGAGGAUUAAAAUUGAAUAGGGUUGCAAAGAGACGUACGUAGUUGGUGGGAUUAGUAAUGCAGAGUAUCGUGUUGCAGGGUGCGUAUUUAAUGGAUGUUACUAGAAUACAAUUGUUGUUGGGUUAACGAGAAAACCAAAGACAUAAAAGAAGACGUACAACGUAUGUUCUUCGCAGACAAGACGGCAACAAUUAUGAAAAAGUAACGGAGAUUGUGGUUUCGAUGCAUGCAUGCCCUUUCCCUUUCUCUUCUGCCUUCUUUUUUUCUUUUAUCAUAUUCAUAGAUACUCUUUCUGUCUUUUCCGAUACUCCAUUUACCAUUUACCAUUU
RNAcentral lists this long non-coding RNA (836 nucleotides) under Vigna radiata. RNAcentral describes it as "long non-coding RNA (VRAD_LNC007019)". The record is from RNAcentral. Lineage: Eukaryota; Viridiplantae; Streptophyta; Magnoliopsida; Fabales; Fabaceae.